Tachyglossus aculeatus (Australian echidna) is the source of this 138-nucleotide small nucleolar RNA. The record is from RefSeq and is a predicted model, not a curated record. NCBI's taxonomy places the organism in Eukaryota, Metazoa, Chordata, Mammalia, Monotremata, Tachyglossidae.
CCCCUCUCAGGAUGGCACCUGGAGAGUUUCCAGUAUUCUACCAGUCUCGACGACUGGAGGGAGAGUCAAGCAGAAGCCUACCCAUUCCAAUCCCAGCUUGGACAGUGGCUAGCGAGUGGAAGGCCAACUGCUACAGGU